This 636-nucleotide ribosomal RNA is filed under the name uncultured bacterium. Its description in RNAcentral is "bacterial SSU rRNA". It matches the Rfam family "Bacterial small subunit ribosomal RNA", at positions 291 to 916 of the family's 1533-position model. The record is from RNAcentral.
UGUGAGAGCAUGACCCGCCUCACUGGGACUGAGACACUGCCCAGACUCCUACGGGAGGCUGCAGUCAAGAAUCUUCCGCAAUGGCCGAAAGGCUGACGGAGCAAUGCCGCGUGCCGGAUGAAGCCCUUUGGGGUGUAAACGGCUUUUAUAGAGGAAUAAGUCCCGACGCAAGUCGGGGUUGAAGGUACUCUAAGAAUAAGGGGCUGCUAACUUCGUGCCAGCAGCAGCGGUAAUACGAAGGCCCCGAGCGUUAUCCGGAUUUAUUGGGUGUAAAGGGUCCGCAGGCGGUUUGUUAAGUCUUUGUUUAAAGACCGAUGCUCAACAUCGGAAUGGGCAAAGAUACUGGCAAACUUGAGGCCGGGAGAGGCUAGUGGAACGACUGGUGUAGGGGUAAAAUCCGUUAAUAUCAGUCGGAACACCAAAAGCGAAAGCAGCUAGCUAGAACGGUUCUGACGCUAAGGGACGAAAGCGUGGGUAGCGAAUGGGAUUAGAUACCCCAGUAGUCCACGCCCUAAACGAUGGAUACUAGGGAUUGGAAGUAUCGACCCUUUCAGUCUCGCCUCCAACUUAGCUAACGCGUUAAGUAUCCCACCUGGGAAGUACGGCCGCAAGGCUAAAACUCAAAUGAAUUGACGG